Molecule: non-coding RNA, 610 nt
Organism: Myodes glareolus (Bank vole)
Lineage: Eukaryota; Metazoa; Chordata; Mammalia; Rodentia; Cricetidae
Source: RefSeq, a predicted model, not a curated record
CCUGGUGCAAAAGUGGCCCACCAGUGUCUGGCAUUCCACUGUGGUUACCCUGCGUACUGUCCCAAGGCCUACCCACCCCUCUGGGAGUUGAGAGGAAGCUGCUGGGCCUCAGCCCAGUGUCCUGCAUCCAGGAUAAUGUUUAUUUCUCAGUGGGGACAGAAUGGUUCCUGCUACCUGCUGGGCACCAGGCCAGGUUGUGCCUUUAACGCUCUGGAGAGCAGUGCAGACUCUGCCUCAGGCUGAUUCUGCCCUGAAUUGUUCAACCUGGAAGAGGUUCUGGGGCUGCUGAGACAACUUCAACUCAGAUUCAGGAGGCAGAAACAGAAAGAUAACCUCAAGUAUGAGGCCAAGGCGGGUGAGGAGUUCAGAGUCAUCCUUGACCACAUGUUGUAUCCAAGGCCAGCCUGGGCAUCAGGAGAUCCUGUCUCCAGAAACAUUCAGUGAUGGGUUGGCAAGGUGGCUCGCUGGGCAUAGGCAUUUGCUGCUAAGCUUGGCAACCUGAAUUCAGUCCCUGGGAGCCACGUGGCGAAGGAAGAAGCCGACUCCUGAAAGCUGUUUACUGGCCUCCACACACAUGAGCACAUCCAAAUAAACGUGAUUUUGAAAUUUA